This is a small nucleolar RNA of Gossypium arboreum, 107 nucleotides long. It matches the Rfam family "Plant small nucleolar RNA R71". Rfam says of the family: R71 is a member of the C/D box family of snoRNAs containing the C (UGAUGA) and D (CUGA) box motifs. NCBI's taxonomy places the organism in Eukaryota, Viridiplantae, Streptophyta, Magnoliopsida, Malvales, Malvaceae. The record is from Rfam.
AACCCAUGGUGAGGCCACCUUUUCAACAGAUCCUUGUAUCUCUCCCAUGCAUCGUAGAGUGUGUCUAAAUCCAUCUGCACAAAAGAGGAGAUAUCAUUACGUAAUUU